CUGCCAGACUCCUACGGGAGGCAGCAGUGAGGAAUAUUGGUCAAUGGCCGGGAGGCUGAACCAGCCAAGUCGCGUGAGGGAUGACGGCCCUACGGGUUGUAAACCUCUUUUGCCGGGGAGCAAAGAGCGGGACGCGUCCCGCCUCGAGAGUACCCGGAGAAAAAGCAUCGGCUAACUCCGUGCCAGCAGCCGCGGUAAUACGGAGGAUGCGAGCGUUAUCCGGAUUUAUUGGGUUUAAAGGGAGCGUAGAUGGGUUGUUAAGUCAGUUGUGAAAGUUUGCGGCUCAACCGUAAAAUUGCAAUUGAUACUGGCAGCCUUGAGUACAGUUGAGGUAGGCGGAAUUCGUGGUGUAGCGGUGAAAUGCUUAGAUAUCACGAAGAACUCCGAUUGCGAAGGCAGCCUACUAAACUGCCACUGACAUUGAUGCUCGAAAGUGUGGGUAUCAAACAGGAUUAGAUACCCGGGUA
Molecule: ribosomal RNA, 467 nt
Filed under: uncultured bacterium
Lineage: Bacteria
Description: bacterial SSU rRNA
Rfam family: Bacterial small subunit ribosomal RNA
Source: RNAcentral